CGGAGGGAGCUAGCGUUGUUCGGAAUUACUGGGCGUAAAGCGCACGUAGGCGGCGAUUUAAGUCAGAGGUGAAAGCCCGGGCUCAACCCCGGAACUGCCUUUGAGACUGGAUUGCUUGAAUCCUGGAGAGGUGAGUGGAAUUCCGAGUGUAGAGGUGAAAUUCGUAGAUAUUCGGAAGAACACCAGUGGCGAAGGCGGCUCACUGGACAGGUAUUGACGCUGAGGUGCGAAAGCGUGGGGAGCAAACAGGAUU
This 253-nucleotide ribosomal RNA is filed under the name uncultured bacterium. RNAcentral describes it as "partial 16S ribosomal RNA". It matches the Rfam family "Bacterial small subunit ribosomal RNA", at positions 526 to 779 of the family's 1533-position model. The record is from RNAcentral.